UACGUAGGGGCCGAGCGUUGUCCGGAGUUAUUGGGCGUAAAGCGCGCGCAGGCGGCUUCGCGCGUCCGACGUGAAAGCCCCCGGCUCAACCGGGGAGGGUCGUUGGGUACGGCGGAGCUUGAGGGCGGUAGAGGUUGGUGGAAUUCCCGGUGUAGUGGUGAAAUGCGUAGAUAUCUGGAGGAACACCGGUGGCGAAGGCGGCAUCCUGGACCGAUACUGACACUGAGGAGCGAAAGCCAGGGGAGCAAACGGG
RNAcentral lists this ribosomal RNA (253 nucleotides) under uncultured bacterium. RNAcentral describes it as "partial 16S ribosomal RNA". It matches the Rfam family "Bacterial small subunit ribosomal RNA", at positions 524 to 776 of the family's 1533-position model. The record is from RNAcentral.